GGAUGUGAGGGCAAUCUGGCCACAACAUCUGUCACCCCCAUUGAUUGCCAGGGUUGAUUCGGCUGAUCUGGCUGGCUAGGCAGGUGUCCCCUUCCUCCCUCAGCACUGCAUGUGCGUCCCUCCUGAAGCUGCACACGCAAUAGAAGACGAUGACCUUCCCCAACAGAGAAGGCCUGUUCUUCAUUCAAGGGCAUAUGAGUAGCUGCACUCCCCUGCUAGAAUCUCCAAACAAGCUCUCAAAUACAAAAUAUUACAUAAAAUCCAAAAAAUGCUAAUUAUCCUGCUAAAAUAGUCUGUUACUAUUGCCUUUUUUU
This 314-nucleotide small nuclear RNA is filed under the name Prolemur simus (greater bamboo lemur). RNAcentral describes it as "7SK RNA (ENSPSMG00000013527.1)". It matches the Rfam family "7SK RNA". Rfam says of the family: 7SK was discovered as an abundant small nuclear RNA in the mid-70s but a possible function has only recently been suggested. Two independent studies have found that 7SK RNA binds the CDK9/cyclin T complex (known as elongation factor P-TEFb). Lineage: Eukaryota; Metazoa; Chordata; Mammalia; Primates; Lemuridae. The record is from Rfam by way of RNAcentral.